RNAcentral lists this ribosomal RNA (253 nucleotides) under uncultured bacterium. RNAcentral's name for it is "partial 16S ribosomal RNA". It matches the Rfam family "Bacterial small subunit ribosomal RNA", at positions 524 to 776 of the family's 1533-position model. The record is from RNAcentral.
GACGGAGGGUGCAAGCGUUGUUCGGAUUGACUGGGCGUAAAGGGCGUGUAGGCGGUUGGUCAAGUCUGAUGUGAAAGCCCGGGGCUCAGCCCCGGAAGGGCAUCGGAAACUAGCCAGCUGGAGCGCGAUAGAGGAGGGUGGAAUUCCCAGUGUAGCGGUGAAAUGCGUAGAUACUGGGAGGAACACCGGUGGCGAAGGCGGCUACCUGGACCGGUUCUGACGCUGAUGCGCGAAAGCGUGGGUAGCAAACAGG